Molecule: ribosomal RNA, 481 nt
Filed under: uncultured Bacteroidota bacterium
Lineage: Bacteria; Pseudomonadati; Bacteroidota
Description: bacterial SSU rRNA
Rfam family: Bacterial small subunit ribosomal RNA
Source: RNAcentral
CGCUAUGCGUUGUAAACUGCUUUUCCAGGGGGUGAAACUCUCGUACGUGUACGGGAUUGACGGUACCCUGGGAAUAAGCAUCGGCUAACUCCGUGCCAGCAGCCGCGGUAAUACGGAGGAUGCGAGCGUUAUCCGGAUUUAUUGGGUUUAAAGGGUGCGUAGGCGGACUGGUAAGUCAGUGGUGAAAACCUGCAGCUUAACUGUAGACUUGCCGUUGAUACUGUCAGUCUUGAGUAUGGUCAAGGUAGGCGGAAUGUGUAAUGUAGCGGUGAAAUGCUUAGAUAUUACACAGAACACCGAUUGCGAAGGCAGCUUGCUGGGCCAUUACUGACGCUGAUGCACGAAAGCGUGGGGAUCGAACAGGAUUAGAUACCCUGGUAGUCCACGCCAUAAACGAUGAUCACUCGCUGUUAGCGAUACACAGUUAGCGGCUAAGCAAAAGCAUUAAGUGAUCCACCUGGGGAGUACGGCCGCAAGGCUG